CCCUACAUGAGCAAGGCCAGGGGGACACAGCAGCAUGAACCAGUCCUUCAUUUUUCAACCAAUCCAGGGGUUGCUGUCUUUCUUUAGGAGGCAAAAUACUUUGAACUGUUUUUUGAAAAGCAAGGGCUCUAUGUUUUUUCCUUUAAUAUUUUUGUCCCAGCUGUCCCCUGCCUUAAUGGGUUUGCCCUGUUUUUGAAUUUAGCUGUUCCCCAAGCUUGAAGACUUACAGAGGUGUAUCCUACAGCAUGACCAGAGCAAACAAGGACUUCACAAAGAGCAUCCUUUCUAAAGACCCUGCAGGCUUCUUCACCUUUUAACUGGCGCUUAACUGUGAGAGCUUUGCACUCAUUUCAGCUUCCUAGAGCUUGUGACAAUCAGAGCAGCAGCAAGAUGUUGGCAGAUUUGCCUAUAGAUUUGGGAAGGGGCUUUGGACUCUGCUAGCAGACAGCAACCCAUGAGCAUAUAUCAGCCUCUGCUAGAAGAUGGGCAGCCCAGCAGGACCAUGAUCAUACCCAGAUCCAUCAGAGCAGAUCCUCUUCCUCCUGUUGGAGAAGAAGAAGCAGAGGCAAAGGGCAGUGAGAUGGAGAUCGGGGUGGAAGAAGGGAGGAAGCACUGCACAUGCAUUUGGAUCAGAGCUGUCAUAACAGGAGCAACCGUGCCAUGUUUUUAUUACACCAUUGAAGCAAGAUCACUUGAUCCCUCUGCCACAGCUUAGAUAGAUUUAAUUUCUUUGUUGCUCUGCUCUAUCUGAUAUUUCCUGUAAUGCUCAGAAGGAGAGUACUAGAGGUGCUUCUAUAGCAGUGUUGUUUAAUGACUUGGACUUAGUUCUAGCAAUAGCAAGUUGAAGUCUGCAUUUCUAAUUCUGAAAAAAAGUUGGCUGGAUUUUCAAAGGAUUCUCCAAAGUGACAGACCGAAGUUCCCAAUGUGCUUUUUUCUUUGUCUGUGUUUUACCUAAAUUCACCUUCAUCUUUUACAUUCUGUUUUCCACAAAUGGAGAUUUUAGGUCAGAAAGCUGCUUCCAAAUUUUCUUCAUAAAGUACAAAAAGCACCUGUAAAAUGGAAAACCCUUCAGUGAGCUUUGGACUGAACCCUGGCGACUGGCAUCUUGGAAGAACGAGGCUCUGCCUCGACCUGGUCAACCUAGUCUGUGUUGCCAGCACUACACUGUCUUACUCCUGACUCUUUCUAAAUACUGCUGAGGACCUCAGCCAAGGUGGGAGAGGCAGUCCCCUGGCUCUUCCCUGACACAAAAUACCUUUGUCACACAGUUUGAGCUACAUGUACCGAGAGCAAGGACACUCUGUGUCCAAAUACGUGGGUCUGUAGUAGCAUGGAACAGGACAAGGUUGCCAUGUGGGAGAACCUUCCCACUUGUGUGGGAGGCUGCCUGCCUUUUGAAUUGGGAAGUGCAGACUUCCUUAAGACAUAACUCCUGAAGGCCCCUUCCAGGUUCUCACAGGUGAGAUGUCUGUGCUAAAAUCUGUGGAUGCAUGCUCACUUAUUCCAAAUCUGUUUACUUGGUGAAUGCCACUCCAAAUAAUAGCUUAAACUGGCAAAAAGAAAAUGCUGUCAGUCUCUGAGGGAGAGCUUUUCACCUUGUGCAUGGCCUGCCCUGAGAUGCCUUCUUGCUUCUGGUCCUGCACUGUAUCUAUUACCAGAGCCAUAUGGUACAGAGCAGCACUGCAGGAGAAUGAGACUACUCUGCAGCUCAGUUUCCUGAGCCAUCACCUCUACUUAUGGAGACAUGGCUUGGCUUGCAAAGGAAAGUGUCUCCGUAAG
Molecule: long non-coding RNA, 1779 nt
Organism: Lagopus muta (rock ptarmigan)
Lineage: Eukaryota; Metazoa; Chordata; Aves; Galliformes; Phasianidae
Exons: 4
Source: RefSeq, a predicted model, not a curated record